RNAcentral lists this ribosomal RNA (1073 nucleotides) under Boana bischoffi (Bischoff's treefrog). RNAcentral describes it as "partial 16S ribosomal RNA". It matches the Rfam family "Bacterial large subunit ribosomal RNA", at positions 845 to 2597 of the family's 2925-position model. The record is from RNAcentral. Lineage: Eukaryota; Metazoa; Chordata; Amphibia; Anura; Hylidae.
AUAGCUGGUUACUUGAUAAAAGAAUUUUAGUUCUACCUAAAGCCCAAAUAAGUUUAAUAAACUAGCACCGAGGCUUUAGAGUUAUUCAAAUAAGGUACAGCCUAUUUGAAUAAGGAGACAACCUAAACUAAUGGGUAAAUAUUUAUAGUGUACCAAAGUGGGCCUAAAAGCAGCCACCUUAAACAAUAGCGUCAAAGCUUCUCUACACAAGUACAUUCAAUUCCACACCCCAACCAAAACCCUUUAUUGUCAUCAAGUAAUUCUAUAUAUCUAUAGAACAUAAAAUGUUAAAACUAGUAACAAGAAGAAAAUCCUUCUCUUAAGUGUAAGUGUAAGCCAGAAAGGAUAAACCACUGUCAAUUAACACCAAUGACUUUUAAUUAGUAACAUUACAAGAAAACCCUAAUAAAACAAAUGUUAAACUAACACAAGAGCACUCCAAGAAAGAUUAAAAGAAAAAGAAGGAACUCGGCAAACACUAACCCCGCCUGUUUACCAAAAACAUCGCCUCUUGCCAAAUAUAAGAGGUCCAGCCUGCCCAGUGACCUAGUUCAACGGCCGCGGUAUCCUAACCGUGCGAAGGUAGCGUAAUCACUUGUUCUUUAAAUGAGGACUAGUAUGAAUGGCAUCACGAGGGUUACACUGUCUCCUUUUUUUAAUCAGUGAAACUAAUCUCCCCGUGAAGAAGCGGGGAUUUUCUUAUAAGACGAGAAGACCCUAUGGAGCUUUAAACAAACUAACACUUGCUGCCCAAAAUAACUUUUUCAGGAAACACGGCACACAGCAUAGCAAGAUGAUUAAUAGUUUUCGAUUGGGGUGAUCACGGAGUAAAAAAUAACCUCCAUGCCGAAAGGACCCUUCCCUGAGCAAAAAGCCACAACUUUAAGCACUAAAAAAAUUAACGUUUAUUGACCCAAUAUUUUGAUCAACGAACCAAGUUACCCUAGGGAUAACAGCGCAAUCCACUUCAAGAGCUCCUAUCGACAAGUGGGUUUACGACCUCGAUGUUGGAUCAGGGUAUCCUAGUGGUGCAGCCGCUACUAACGGUUCGUUUGUUCAACGAUUAAAACCCU